This 427-nucleotide long non-coding RNA is filed under the name Lotus japonicus. Its description in RNAcentral is "long non-coding RNA (LJAP_LNC000252)". The record is from RNAcentral. Lineage: Eukaryota; Viridiplantae; Streptophyta; Magnoliopsida; Fabales; Fabaceae.
UAAAUCAAGAAACAUGUUUUAUAUUGAAGAGAAUCACAUGGAAAGCAUAAGUAUCACACAAUAACAUCAAAUCUCAUCAAAAUAGAGAUUAACUAUCCAUUUUCAUGGAUAAAUUUUAAAAUAGAGAUGAAGAAUGAGAAGAACCAAAAUUGUCGCGAUGUCUCGCCGCCGAAUCCGACCUCUAGAGCUUCAUCUCUAGCCUCCUAAGAUUCUCGCCUUAUUUUAUAAGUGCUUUUAUGAGUUUCUAAAUCAUGAGUACCAUUUCAAAUCCAGUUUUGUGAAGAAAAUCUGAUGCGUGACUUAAAUUGAAUAUUCUGCAACUUUCUGGGCUUAAGCUUGAUCCCUUCUAGCUUAAGCCAAAAUGUUUCUUCAAGGCUAAGUAGUUUUUGGCUUAAGAACAGACAAAUCUGACUUAAGACAGAUUGGA